RNAcentral lists this ribosomal RNA (277 nucleotides) under uncultured bacterium. RNAcentral describes it as "partial 16S ribosomal RNA". It matches the Rfam family "Bacterial small subunit ribosomal RNA", at positions 333 to 607 of the family's 1533-position model. The record is from RNAcentral.
UGGGUCCUACGGGACGCAGCAGUGAGGAAUAUUGGUCAAUGGCCGAGAGGCUGAACCAGCCAAGUCGCGUGAGGGAUGACGGCCCUACGGGUUGUAAACCUCUUUUGUCGGGGAGCAAAGAGAGUCACGUGUGACUCAUUGAGAGUACCCGAAGAAAAAGCAUCGGCUAACUCCGUGCCAGCAGCCGCGGUAAUACGGAGGAUGCGAGCGUUAUCCGGAUUUACUGGGUGUAAAGGGAGCGUAGACGGCAGUGCAAGUCUGGAGUGAGAGGCGGGGG